AUAUAUCAACCUCUUCAGCUUUUUGCAUGUUGAGUGUUGGAUAUGGGGGUAUUUUUUGCUGGACUCUAUCUGAGGUCAGCUCCCCUAAAAUGCAUCAGCGAAACAAUUUGUUUACCGCUCAUUGGUGUGAUAACUAUCUACGCUGUUGACGGUGACGCAUGUUUAGCUUCUAACAGUCCAUUAACUUGGACAACUUUUUAUUAAU
RNAcentral lists this unclassified non-coding RNA (205 nucleotides) under uncultured Cortinarius. RNAcentral's name for it is "sequence contains ITS2". The record is from RNAcentral. Lineage: Eukaryota; Fungi; Basidiomycota; Agaricomycetes; Agaricales; Cortinariaceae.